ACGAACUGUGCGAACGUUAUUCGGAAUUACUGGGCUUAAAGAGUUCGUAGGCGGACUAGUAAGUCGGGUGUGAAAUCCCACAGCUCAACUGUGGAACUGCGCCCGAUACUGUUAGUCUUGAGGGAGGUAGAGGAAAGCGGAACAGAUGGUGGAGCGGUGAAAUGCGUUGAUAUCAUCUGGAACACCGGUGGCGAAAGCGGCUUUCUGGAUCUCUUCUGACGCUGAGGAACGAAAGCUAGGGGAGCGAACGGG
Molecule: ribosomal RNA, 252 nt
Filed under: uncultured bacterium
Lineage: Bacteria
Description: partial 16S ribosomal RNA
Rfam family: Bacterial small subunit ribosomal RNA
Source: RNAcentral